Molecule: ribosomal RNA, 468 nt
Filed under: uncultured bacterium
Lineage: Bacteria
Description: partial 16S ribosomal RNA
Rfam family: Bacterial small subunit ribosomal RNA
Source: RNAcentral
GACGAACGCUGGCGGCGUGCUUAACACAUGCAAGUCGAACGGAAAGGCCCUGCUUUUGUGGGGUGCUCGAGUGGCGAACGGGUGGGUAACACGUGAGUAACCUGCCCUUGACUUUGGGAUAACUUCAGGAAACUGGGGCUAAUACCGGAUAGGAGCUCCUGCUACAUGGUGGGGGUUGGAAAGUUUCGGCGGUUGGGGAUGGACUCGCGGCUUAUCAGCUUGUUGGUGGGGUAGUGGCUUACCAAGGCUUUGACGGGUAGCCGGCCUGAGAGGGUGACCGGCCACAUUGGGACUGAGAUACGGCCCAGACUCCUACGGGAGGCAGCAGUGGGGAAUAUUGCACAAUGGGCGGAAGCCUGAUGCAGCAAUGCCGCGUGCGGGAUGACGGCCUUCGGGUUGUAAACCGCUUUCGCCUGUGACGAAGCGUGAGUGACGGUAAUGGGUAAAGAAGCACCGGCUAACUACGUG